UGACAGACCUUUCCUCUUAGCAGUGGUUGC
RNAcentral lists this non-coding RNA (30 nucleotides) under Mus musculus (house mouse). Lineage: Eukaryota; Metazoa; Chordata; Mammalia; Rodentia; Muridae. The record is from RNAcentral.